AACGCACCUUGCACGCGCUGGGGAACCAGCGCGUAUGCCUGUUUGAGAAUCGCCUACACCUUGGCCGCCAGCUGUGCGGCUGCGUUGGGGGUCAGGCCUUGGCGGUCCGUCCUCCUAAAUGGAGCAGUGGGGUCCUGCAGUGUCCUCUGUGUGCUGGAGACCGGUCGAGUCUACUCACGGGGGCGCGGCAUGUGCGCGUCUGGCUUUUGCCUUUGGCUCCUGCCUCUGGCUUUUGCCUCACCGCCAGCCCCGCUAACAGCAACCAACCACAACCACGAUCUCAAAUCAGGCAAGACCACCCGCCGAACUUAA
Molecule: unclassified non-coding RNA, 312 nt
Filed under: uncultured fungus
Lineage: Eukaryota; Fungi
Description: partial internal transcribed spacer 2
Source: RNAcentral